UAGGAGAACAAGCUCAGCUGCU
RNAcentral lists this non-coding RNA (22 nucleotides) under Mus musculus (house mouse). The record is from RNAcentral. Lineage: Eukaryota; Metazoa; Chordata; Mammalia; Rodentia; Muridae.